GUCUACGGCCACGCUACCCUGAACAAGCCCAAUCCCGUCUGAUCUCGGAAGCUAAGCAGGGUCGGACCUGGUUAGUACUUUGAUGGGAGACCACCUAGGAAGACCAGGUGCUGUAGGCA
RNAcentral lists this ribosomal RNA (119 nucleotides) under Pteropus alecto (black flying fox). Lineage: Eukaryota; Metazoa; Chordata; Mammalia; Chiroptera; Pteropodidae. The record is from RNAcentral.